Molecule: transfer RNA, 87 nt
Filed under: Terriglobus roseus
Lineage: Bacteria; Pseudomonadati; Acidobacteriota; Terriglobia; Terriglobales; Acidobacteriaceae
Rfam family: tRNA
About the family: Transfer RNA (tRNA) molecules are approximately 80 nucleotides in length. Their secondary structure includes four short double-helical elements and three loops (D, anti-codon, and T loops).
Source: Rfam by way of RNAcentral
GGAGAGGUGUGUGAGUGGUUGAAACAGGCUGUCUUGAAAACAGCUUUCGGUGAAAGCCGAACGGGGGUUCGAAUCCCUCCCUCUCCG